Long non-coding RNA from Papaver somniferum (opium poppy), 989 nucleotides. RefSeq lists it as uncharacterized. The record is from RefSeq and is a predicted model, not a curated record. Lineage: Eukaryota; Viridiplantae; Streptophyta; Magnoliopsida; Ranunculales; Papaveraceae. The transcript has 2 exons.
AUAAGGUAAACCAGUCAUAUUAAGUUAAAUGAAAAAAAAACCUCUCUCCUCCCUACAAAGUGAUUUCCGACAGGGACGACAACCUUUUGUUCCGACAACCUUAACUGCUCACAUCUUCAAUCAACAAGUCUUAGUUUAGAUUAGGUUUCUCAAAUCAGAUUUGGCUCAAGAAUAAAAACGGAAAGCAAAACCCGACAGGGAAAAAAAAAUGAAUCAUCGUCUUCUUCAAACCCUAAUUCAACAACCAUGGAUUCAGCAGCUCUCAUCAGCUAAAUCUCGAUUCACCGGCCUUUCUGUGUCAAUUAGGUCUAUUGCUGCCAAUUUGUGAUACCCAAUUUUAUUCUUGGAGUUUUCAUCAUAAUUUUAGGUUCUACUGCUGCUGGUUUUGGGUUCCCUCUAGUUUUUUUUCAUGGUUUGGUCUUCAUCGACAAUCCUUCUGGAUUUGAUUUAUACAUGUAAUAGCCUCUUCAACCUUUUUCUUUGAGAGAGUGGAUUCUACCUUCAAGACUCGAUCGAAGUUAUGGAUCAAGCCGAAAAACAAAGAAGUAGAUAAAUAUAUUUCGGGCAGUUUACCGCAGCAUCAAGAUACAAAGUCAUGACUAGCAACCUCAAUAAAUUGCAUCGGACACCUCUACCUCCACCUCAGUUCAUGUGGACACUGCAGUGCCCAUCAAAAAUACAACUUUUCUUGUGGAAUGCAUUGACCGAAGGCCUUUCGACCUUCGAAACAAACAUCCGCACCCGAUGCAACUAUGAUUUGAAGACUGCUAUUCUGCUCCAAUAUCAUGUUACCGUGGAUUCAUGGCUUACCAAUCUAAUUGUAAUUGAUGAAUCUUGGGGUAUUAAGAACCCUCAUGUAAUAGCCCUUUGGUAGUUUAAUAAAUUUCAUGCUUCAAAAAAAAAAAACAUGUGUAACCUUCAUCUACACAUCCAUAUAACUUGUGUAUUUUAUUCGGGGUUUUUCCAUCUCUGAGUUUACUUUUUUCCAA